MicroRNA precursor from Monodelphis domestica (gray short-tailed opossum), 59 nucleotides. It matches the Rfam family "mir-7398 microRNA precursor family". The record is from Rfam. NCBI's taxonomy places the organism in Eukaryota, Metazoa, Chordata, Mammalia, Didelphimorphia, Didelphidae.
AGUGUAGAGAAUGGUGAGUAUGCUGUUCUCUAUCAGGUAAUUCACCCUUCUCUCACUAU